Molecule: ribosomal RNA, 501 nt
Filed under: uncultured bacterium
Lineage: Bacteria
Description: bacterial SSU rRNA
Rfam family: Bacterial small subunit ribosomal RNA
Source: RNAcentral
CGAACGCUGGCGGCGUGCCUAACACAUGCAAGUCGUACGAGAAAAUCCGUUUCGGCGGAUGAGUAAAGUGGCGCACGGGUGAGUAACGCGUGGAUAAUCCGCCUUUAAGCUGGGAAUAACUCAUCGAAAGGUGGGCUAAUACCCGAUAAUGCUAUGCAGCUAAGGUUGUAUAGUCAAAGAGAGCCUCUGCUUGCAAGCCCUCACUUAGAGAUGAGUCCGCGUACCAUUAGCUAGUUGGUAGGGUAAUGGCCUACCAAGGCGAUGAUGGUUAGCUGGUCUGAGAGGAUGAUCAGCCACACUGGAACUGAGACACGGUCCAGACUCCUACGGGAGGCAGCAGUGAGGAAUAUUGCGCAAUGGGGGAAACCCUGACGCAGCAACGCCGCGUGAGUGAGGAAGGUUUUCGGAUCGUAAAGCUCUGUCGGGUGGGAAGAAAUGUAUGGAGGUUAAUAGCCUUUGUACUUGACGGUACCGCCAAAGGAAGCACCGGCUAACUCCGUG